Molecule: long non-coding RNA, 394 nt
Filed under: Elaeis guineensis (African oil palm)
Lineage: Eukaryota; Viridiplantae; Streptophyta; Magnoliopsida; Arecales; Arecaceae
Description: long non-coding RNA (EGUI_LNC017517)
Source: RNAcentral
GUUUGGAAUGGAUUCGGCUAGUAGGAUUUUAAAUGGGUUUGGAUAUGGAUAGAUCAAAUUUUGUGGGUACCCUACCCAUUGCCAUUCUUAUAAAAUGGUAGGUGAAGGAAGGAAAGGUGAGAUCGGGCAUGGUGGAGUGGGCCAAAGAUGCCCUGCGACUGUAGUUCUGUGAGGAGACCAAGAUGAUGGCUGAGAUGGGAGGUGCACAUGGUCCCAAAAUGGCGUUGGCUCGGCCAGAUCAAAGCCGUGUUUCUAGGGGGUGCCAAAUUUUUGUUGGUUGGGUCCAGUGGACUAACUGCGGCUCAUAUGGAACAGUUUCUUGCUUGGAAUUUUUCAUUCAUGCAAUCUCUUCAUUCGAAAUAAAUGAUGGGAUCACCGAUUUGGCAUACCCUAG